GGAAAGGUGGCCGAGUGGUCGAAGGCACACGCUUGGAAAGCGUGCAACUCGCAAGGGUUCGCGGGUUCGAAUCCCGCCCUUUCCG
RNAcentral lists this transfer RNA (85 nucleotides) under Candidatus Moraniibacteriota bacterium. RNAcentral's name for it is "tRNA-Ser". It matches the Rfam family "tRNA". Rfam says of the family: Transfer RNA (tRNA) molecules are approximately 80 nucleotides in length. Their secondary structure includes four short double-helical elements and three loops (D, anti-codon, and T loops). Further hydrogen bonds mediate the characteristic L-shaped molecular structure. tRNAs have two regions of fundamental functional importance: the anti-codon, which is responsible for specific mRNA codon recognition, and the 3' end, to which the tRNAs corresponding amino acid is attached (by aminoacyl-tRNA synthetases). tRNAs cope with the degeneracy of the genetic code in two manners: having more than one tRNA (with a specific anti-codon) for a particular amino acid; and 'wobble' base-pairing, i.e. permitting non-standard base-pairing at the 3rd anti-codon position. The record is from RNAcentral. Lineage: Bacteria; Candidatus Moraniibacteriota.